GAUGAACGCUGGCGGCGUGCCUAAUACAUGCAAGUCGAGCGAACGGACGAGGAGCUUGCUUCUCUGAUGUUAGCGGCGGACGGGUGAGUAACACGUGGAUAACCUACCUAUAAGACUGGGAUAACUUCGGGAAACCGGAGCUAAUACCGGAUAAUAUUUUGAACCGCAUGGUUCAAUAGUGAAAGACGGUCUUGCUGUCACUUAUAGAUGGAUCCGCGCUGCAUUAGCUAGUUGGUAAGGUAACGGCUUACCAAGGCAACGAUGCAUAGCCGACCUGAGAGGGUGAUCGGCCACACUGGAACUGAGACACGGUCCAGACUCCUACGGGAGGCAGCAGUAGGGAAUCUUCCGCAAUGGGCGAAAGCCUGACGGAGCAACGCCGCGUGAGUGAUGAAGGUCUUCGGAUCGUAAAACUCUGUUAUUAGGGAAGAACAAAUGUGUAAGUAACUAUGCACAUCUUGACGGUACCUAAUCAGAAAGCCACGGCUAACUACGUG
RNAcentral lists this ribosomal RNA (497 nucleotides) under uncultured bacterium. RNAcentral's name for it is "partial 16S ribosomal RNA". It matches the Rfam family "Bacterial small subunit ribosomal RNA", at positions 28 to 507 of the family's 1533-position model. The record is from RNAcentral.